AUUGAACGCUGGCGGCAUGCCUUACACAUGCAAGUCGAACGGUAACGCGGGGCAACCUGGCGACGAGAGGCGAACGGGUGAGUAAAGCAUCGGAACGUGCCCAGUAGAGGGGGAGAGACCGGCGAAAGCCGGACUAAUACCGCAUACGACCUAUGGGGGAAAGGGGGGGAUCGCAAGAACUCUCGCUAUUGGCGCGGCCGAUGUCAGAUUAGGUAGUUGGUGGGGUAAGGGACUACCAAGCCGACGAUCUGUAGCUGGUCUGAGAGGACGACCAGCCACACUGGGACUGAGACACGGCCCAGACUCCUACGGGAGGCAGCAGUGGGGAAUUUUGGACAAUGGGCGCAAGCCUGAUCCAGCCAUGCCGCGUGCGGGAAGAAGGCCUUCGGGUUGUAAACCGCUUUUGUCAGGGAAGAAAUCCUUUGGGUUAAUACCUCGGGGGGAUGACGGUACCUGAAGAAUAAGCACCGGCUAACUACGUGCCAGCAGCCGCCGUAA
This 498-nucleotide ribosomal RNA is filed under the name uncultured bacterium. RNAcentral's name for it is "partial 16S ribosomal RNA". It matches the Rfam family "Bacterial small subunit ribosomal RNA", at positions 29 to 523 of the family's 1533-position model. The record is from RNAcentral.